RNAcentral lists this ribosomal RNA (429 nucleotides) under Verrucomicrobiota bacterium. RNAcentral's name for it is "Verrucomicrobia bacterium partial 16S ribosomal RNA". It matches the Rfam family "Bacterial small subunit ribosomal RNA", at positions 355 to 776 of the family's 1533-position model. The record is from RNAcentral. Lineage: Bacteria; Pseudomonadati; Verrucomicrobiota.
UAGGGAAUCUUCCGCAAUGGACGAAAGUCUGACGGAGCAACGCCGCGUGAGUGAAGAAGGAUUUCGGUUCGUAAAACUCUGUUGUUAGGGAAGAAAAAAUGUAUAGUAACUAUAUACAAAAGAGACGGUACCUAACCAGAAAGCCACGGCUAACUACGUGCCAGCAGCCGCGGUAAUACGUAGGUGGCAAGCGUUGACCGGAAUUAUUGGGCGUAAAGCGCGCGCAGGUGGUUUAGAAAGUCUGAUGUGAAAGCCCACGGCUCAACCGUGGAGGGUCAUUGGAAACUAAUAAACUUGAGUGCAGGAGAGAAAAGUGGAAUUCCUAGUGUAGCGGUGAAAUGCGUAGAGAUUAGGAGGAACACCGGUGGCGAAAGCGGCUUUUUGGCCUGCAACUGACACUGAGGCGCGAAAGCGUGGGGAGCAAACAGG